This 368-nucleotide ribosomal RNA is filed under the name uncultured bacterium. RNAcentral's name for it is "bacterial SSU rRNA". It matches the Rfam family "Bacterial small subunit ribosomal RNA", at positions 29 to 422 of the family's 1533-position model. The record is from RNAcentral.
AACGAACGCUGGCGGCAGGCUUAACACAUGCAAGUCGAACGGGUGUAGCAAUACAUCAGUGGCAGACGGGUGAGUAACACGUGGGAACCUUCCUCGUUGUACGGGACAACUCAGGGAAACUUGAGCUAAUACCGUAUACGUCCGAGAGGAGAAAGAUUUAUCGCAAAUGAGACGGGCCCGCGUCGGAUUAGCUAGUUGGUGGGGUAACGGCCUACCAAGGCGACGAUCCGUAGCUGAUCUGAGAGGAUGAUCAGCCACACUGGGACUGAGACACGGCCCAGACUCCUACGGGAGGCAGCAGUGGGAAUCUUGGACAAUGGGCGCAAGCCUGAUCCAGCCAUGCCGCGUGAGUGAAGAAGGCCUUAGGG